This 116-nucleotide ribosomal RNA is filed under the name Anolis carolinensis (green anole). Lineage: Eukaryota; Metazoa; Chordata; Lepidosauria; Squamata; Anolidae. The record is from RNAcentral.
UUAUAUAACUAGUCCCUAUAUGCAUCAGAUCCUAUCUGAUCUUGGAAGCUAAGCAGGUUCCUCCUUGGUUAGUAUUUGGAUGGGAGACUGUCAAUGAAUACCAGGGGCUGUAUUUC